CGGGGCGGCAAAACGUCCGCCCGGGCCCGAGGCGGGCGGAGGCAGCUGUGGUUACGUGCGGGGGGCCGGUGACGCAGUCGCGGGGCGCUGGGACGCGGCUUGCGGAGCCGGCCGGCGAGCGCAGGCCCCAGGCUCGGGCGCGGCGGCGGGACAGCACCUACCUUCCCGGCUUCGGGUCCGGGAGUGCGGGGCGCGGAGCCGCCGGAGCGCUGCCUCCCUCCUUCCUCCUCCCCUCGCCCCCGCCCCGCGGCGCGACACACAAUACUCGCCGGAAGCGGAAGCCGCGCCGAGGCUCGUGUCAGUGGAAGCUGGGGUGUCGGCGGGCGGCCGCGGCCGGGUCUAGCGGUGCCUGCGGAAGAAGGAGGAGGAGGGCUGGCGAUGAGAAGCAGCAGGGGGAAUCAAGGGCAAGAAGGGACCCAGAGGGGCAGGUGGCUGAGAUGCUGGCGUCCAGGUGACCCGAGGAAUCCUCUGGAGAUACAGGCCCGCGCAUGCGCGUGCUCGAGCGCUGAAGCCCAUUGCCCGCAGGGCGCUGGACUGGCGCCCCGGCCGGCGAGGCUGUCUAGUCCAGGCUCCAGGCCCCGGCUCUGGCCAGGCGCCGCCGCCUCCCGGUGCAGCUGAAAGUCGACGAAGAGGGCGGGGCGGGGGCGGCUUGUGGACUUCCACACUUUUCCUCUCUUCGGGCCAGUCUGGGGAGAGGGUGGCUAGCUGUGGCGGCGGCCAAUUACGUGGCGGACCUGCGGGGCUAAGCUGGCACGUCACUUCCGACUAGUGGAGUUUUUAGCCUUUUAACAUUCAAGGAUUAGGUAAGUUCUCCCCGCGGUAGACUUCAAAUACUCUUUGUCCUGCCCCUGCUUGGCGAAAUUUACCGAAAUUAUCUACCUAUCCCGCUGGAGUGGGAGCCGGGGGAGAGCUGGAACCGCGUCUCUGCUGCUCACCUUUGUGUCCUUAGCUCCUUCGCAUGGGGUCCGACCGCAACACGUGCGCUGGAUAAACGCUUGUUAACUGGAGCUCCCUCUUUGCCCACUAGCAGGGCAUUAGCUGGUGCUGAAGACAGUGGCUGCUUGGCGAGCCUGGAUCUCCAAGUGACCCCCUCAGCAACUCCUGAUGAACAGGGACUUGCACUUAGGAAUCUGUUACAGUGAGCACAGAAGCAGACCUGUGGGCUCAUAGUCUUCACCCCCCACCCAUAUAUACAAGAUGAACAGAGUGGAGGUUAAACAACUUGACUAAACAACACAGUUCAUGGUAAAGCCCAAGACUGUACCUGCCCAUCCACUGCCUUUUCCAUGUAUCCUGGAACUGAGCAUAGACCUCUUCCCAGGCAGAGCUGACAGCAAGUAAAGGAGAUCAUAAUCAGGGGACCAAACAACUUUGUCUAAAGUGUGAAUGUCACCUAAGGAGAAGCUGUGAGAUCAGAAGGGUGGGGCAGAGGAGCAGACACCAUGAGGGAGAGUCCUUGGGGGUACAUCUGCCAGACUGACACUGUCUGGCCUGGGCAGUGGAGGGGCUAGCAGGAACCACAGGUACUGGUGGUGUGGCUACUACCGUUACAACUGCCUGUGCUUGGACAUGGACCCUCUGCAAUAUGCGGCAGUUUCAUUCAUUGCCCCCUACAUUCUACACCAAGUAGAAAUGGAAGGCAAUUGGAUACUUCACAGACAAGAUCUAAGUGGAGAAGGAAUGCGUCCUGUGGCUGCAGAGAUCCUUGGAGCUUGGAGGGGAGAGCUUGAGCCCCACUGAUGAUGACCUCCCACAGCUCGCCAACUCAGCCCUCCCUAAGUCCCCAUCGGGGGCCAAUUCUCACUCUGGGGUUGGGGGGACUCCACCAUAGCUCAUCCAUCAUAGGGAUGUUGGUAUCUACUGUGGGUUGGGUAGGGCCGAUGUGCUGAGGAUGGCUCCCCCACAAGCAAGAGAUGUGGAUUUGGGGAGCUUCCCAUCUUGUGUUGAAGGAACAUAACUCAGAAUAAUAAGAGCCAACUAUAACAAACCCACAGCCAACAUCAUACUGAAUGGGCAAAAGCUGCAGGCAUUCCCCUUGAAAAGUGGCACAGGAUAAGGAAGCCCUUUCUCACCACUCCUAUUCAAUAUAGUGUUGAAAGUCCUGAUCACAGCAGUCAGGCAACAGAAAUAAUAAAGGGCAUCCAAAUAGGAAGAGAGGAAGUCAAACUAUCCUUGUUUGCAGACAGUAUGAUUCUAUAUCUAGAAAACCCCAUAGCCUCAGCCCAAAAGGUCCUUCAUCUGAUAAUUUCAGCAAAGUUUCAGGAGACAAAAUCAGUGUACAAAAAUCACUAACAUUCCUAUACACAGUCGCCAAGCCAAGAGCCAAAUCAGGAGCACAAUCCCAUUCAUAAUUGCCACAAAAAAGAAUAAAAUACCCAGGAAUGCAGCUAACCAAGGAAGUAAAGGAUCUCUACAAUGAGAAUCACAAACGCUGCUCAAAGAAAUCAGAGAUGACACAAACAAAUGGAAAAACUUUCCAUGCUCAUGGCUAGGAAGAAUCAAUAUCAUUAAAGUGGCCAUACUACCCAAAGCAAUUUAUAGAUUCAAUGCUAUUCCUAUCAAACAAUUACAUUUUUCACAGAACUAGAAAAAACUUAAAAUUCAUAUGGAACCAAAAAGCCUGAGUAGUCAAGGCAAUCCUAAACAAAAAGAACAAAGGUGGAGGCAUCACAUUACCUAACUUCAAACUACAGGGCUACCAUGACCAAAACAGCAUGGUACUGGUACAAAAGCAGACACACAGACCAGUGGGACAGAAUAGAGAGCCCAAAAAUAAGGCCACAAACCUACAGCCAUCUGAUCUUCAACAAAGUUGACAAAAACAAGCAAUGGGGAAAGGUCUCCCUAUUCAAUAAAUGGUGCUGGGAUAACUGGCUGGCCAUAUGCAGAAGAUCGUAACUGGACCCCUUUUACUAUGUACAAAAAUUAAGAUGGUUUAAAGAGUUAAAACCCAAAAUUAUAAAAAUCCUGAAGAUAACUUAGGCAAUACCAUUCUGGACAUAGGAACUGGCAAAGAUUUCAUGAUGAAGACACCAAAAGCAAUUGUAACAAAAGCAAAAAUGGACAAAUUGGAUUUAAGAGCUUUUUCAUAGCAAAAUAAACAACAGGGCAGACAAUCUACCAAAUGACAGAAAAUUUUUGCAAACUAUGCAUCUGACAAGGGGCUAAUAUCUAGCAUCUAUAAGGAAUUUAAACACAGUUACAGG
Molecule: long non-coding RNA, 3206 nt
Filed under: Homo sapiens (human)
Lineage: Eukaryota; Metazoa; Chordata; Mammalia; Primates; Hominidae
Description: long non-coding RNA NONHSAT117292.2
Source: RNAcentral